This 233-nucleotide ribosomal RNA is filed under the name uncultured bacterium. RNAcentral's name for it is "partial 16S ribosomal RNA". It matches the Rfam family "Bacterial small subunit ribosomal RNA", at positions 103 to 334 of the family's 1533-position model. The record is from RNAcentral.
CGGGUGAGUAACGCGUGAGGAACCUGCCUCAAAGAGGGGGACAACAGUUGGAAACGACUGCUAAUACCGCAUAAGCCCACAGCUCGGCAUCGAGCAGAGGGAAAAGGAGCAAUCCGCUUUGAGAUGGCCUCGCGUCCGAUUAGCUGGUUGGUGAGGUAACGGCCCACCAAGGCGACGAUCGGUAGCCGGACUGAGAGGUUGAACGGCCACAUUGGGACUGAGACACGGCCCAG